AUAUCUUUCUCGGCCUUUUGGCUAAGAUCAAGUGUAGUAUCAGUUCUUAUUAGUUUAAUAUCUGAUACGUGGGCCAAUGGCCCACAACCAUAUUAAAUUAAUUUUUUAACGGGGAAAGCUCACUGCAGUUGCUUGCAACUGGGGUUUUUGCGCGACGCCCAUGCGUUGCACUAUUGCACGGGUCAGGCGCACCCCAC
Molecule: small nuclear RNA, 197 nt
Organism: Amaranthus tricolor (Joseph's coat)
Lineage: Eukaryota; Viridiplantae; Streptophyta; Magnoliopsida; Caryophyllales; Amaranthaceae
Product: U2 spliceosomal RNA
Exons: 1
Source: RefSeq, a predicted model, not a curated record